This 245-nucleotide ribosomal RNA is filed under the name uncultured bacterium. Its description in RNAcentral is "partial 16S ribosomal RNA". It matches the Rfam family "Bacterial small subunit ribosomal RNA", at positions 524 to 768 of the family's 1533-position model. The record is from RNAcentral.
UACGGAGGGUGCAAGCGUUGCUCGGAAUCAUUGGGCGUAAAGGGCGCGUAGGCGGGUUCGCAAGUCGAUUGUGAAAGCCCCGGGCUUAACCUGGGAAUUGCAGUCGAUACUGCAGAUCUUGAGUGCUUGAGAGGGUGCUGGAAUUCCUGGUGUAGAAGUGAAAUUCGUAGAUAUCAGGAGGAACACCGGAGGCGAAGGCGGGCACCUGGUGAGACACUGACGCUGAGGCGCGAAAGUGCGGGGAG